Molecule: ribosomal RNA, 469 nt
Filed under: uncultured bacterium
Lineage: Bacteria
Description: partial 16S ribosomal RNA
Rfam family: Bacterial small subunit ribosomal RNA
Source: RNAcentral
UGGGGAAUAUUGCACAAUGGGCGCAAGCCUGAUGCAGCCAUGCCGCGUGUGUGAAGAAGGCCUUCGGGUUGUAAAGCACUUUCAGCGAGGAGGAAGGUGGUGAGCUUAAUACGCUCAUCAAUUGACGUUACUCGCAGAAGAAGCACCGGCUAACUCCGUGCCAGCAGCCGCGGUAAUACGGAGGGUGCAAGCGUUAAUCGGAAUUACUGGGCGUAAAGCGCACGCAGGCGGUUUGUUAAGUCAGAUGUGAAAUCCCCGGGCUCAACCUGGGAACUGCAUUUGAAACUGGCAAGCUAGAGUCUCGUAGAGGGGGUAGAAUUCCAGGUGUAGCGGUGAAAUGCGUAGAGAUCUGGAGGAAUACCGGUGGCGAAGGCGGCCCCCUGGACGAAGACUGACGCUCAGGUGCGAAAGCGUGGGGAGCAAAACAGGAUUAGAUACCCUGGUAGUCCACGCUGUAAAACGAUGUCGA